This 6155-nucleotide long non-coding RNA is filed under the name Phaseolus vulgaris (common bean). RNAcentral describes it as "long non-coding RNA (PVUL_LNC000390)". Lineage: Eukaryota; Viridiplantae; Streptophyta; Magnoliopsida; Fabales; Fabaceae. The record is from RNAcentral.
CCCCAUGUGGAUCCCCCAACACAGUCAAGAGACCAGCAAGCACAGUAAAAGGUCUCAGAAUACCAAUACAUGACUUACCUUUGCCAUUAGAAACAACCACCAACGCCCAAAAAUCUUCUUUAUACAGAAAACUCAGCAGCAUCUCCCAAAUGGGCAUCUGUUUUCUCCGCCACUCACAACCAAACUCAGUGGCAACAAGCUCAACAACCCUAUCAGCAAAAAAAUCAUUCAAACCCACCUUCUCUUUCUUCUUCACUCCCCUGAAAUCCUCACACACACUACAAAAAAAGUGUAUAUUGUGGCGGUUAUUUUCGUAUAAACUGGCGUUUGUAACUGCCACAAUAUACGCUUGUGGCGGUUUCCCAAACCGCCAUAGAACUGGCUGCCACAAAGUUUAAUGUGGUUGUUUUACACUACCCGCCGCAAGAUCGAUUGAAUAAUACCAAUUAAAAUGUCAAACAAAUUAAGAACCAAACGUGAAUAUAUAAUUUAUUAUAAUAUUAAUUUAUUAUAAUAAAUGUAUGAGAAAUGUCAUGUGAUGGAGAGUUUAGUAUUAUGGAAUUCACAAAUUUGAUUUCUCAAGUCUACUAAAAUACUAGUGUACGACUAUAAACUUAUACUUCACGUAUUUUUUUUAUUAGCAAUCAAGAAACAUAUAUACCCAGGAACCACUUAUUAUCAACAUUAUAAAACGUAUAAUUAAUCCAUUUUUAUGAAUAUUGAUUCUCAAUAAAGUUAGUAGAUAUUUUUCAGCAUAUAAUGGAAAGAAGAUAUUAAAAUUUAAUCAAAUUUUGGUUUCAUAAAUGUGGCGGCAGAAAAUUGAUUUGUAUAUUAUAGAUCCUGUGAAAACCUGCAUAAUCUUACAAAUUCUACUGAUUAAUUUCUUUGCCAAGUUUUAAUACUUUGUGGAUCUAAUUCUUUAGCCAGGCAAUAAUGGUUAGUUAAUUAGUAUUGUUUCUAUAUACAUGUUAAUAAUGUACAUGGGAAAACCAUAUAAAAAAUCAUGGUGUAGGAAGGUUCACCCAAGGUUUUGUUGCCUUCCUCUGCAGACAAGCAUUUCAUUGUUAUUAUAUCUUGUUUCUUGUGAUAAGUUUGUCAUGGUUUCAAAGAUAUUAGUGUGACUAUUUUAUUCCCACUUUUCCUUUCUACUCCCUAUAUAACUAUACAUCACCAAGUUCAUCCUUCGUUUUUGAAGAGGUAACAUGGAGAUAUCAAGAAACUUACAAGUGUAACUUUAUAUUACAUAAGGGUAAGAAUAUUCCAAACAAGUGACAUCCAACUUAAAUAAAUCAAUAAAUAUUCAAAUGAACAUUAUAAUCCAUAGAAUCUGGAAGAAAUGACAAACUACCAUAAGUACUGUUACUCUGCUUCUUUUUCUCACUCAUACGGUUGCUCUGCAUCAUCAUGAUAUGGGAAGGUGUCACAAUCACACAUGCCCACGGGAAUCUAAUCAAUUACACUACCUAUUUUCCUACCAAAUGUUACCAUUUCUGUUACCAACUACGCUGUAGCUCUACACAAAUCUAACACUUUCCUCAAUUAAUUUACUUCAAUUCACAAAAAUUCCUUUUGGAGUAGCCACAGAAAAAGACUAUAAACAAUACUCUAGAAGUUAGAUAAGGGCGAAAAUAUAUAAAAUAUUUCAACAAUUUCCAAUCAACAUUCUAACAACAAUCAACAUUUCAAUAAUAGAUAAACUAGCAAUCUCCUUAAACAGCUAAAAGAACUAACCUGGGACUCCUUUGUAGCACCACAAAUAAUAGAAGAAACAUUGGAAUUAGCAACACACCAUGCAAUCGCAAGUUGUGAUAGUGGAACAUCAAGCUCGCAGCCCAUCAACCUUCUUAAGCACAUCAUCAACCAAUGAUCGUGAUGCCAAAUUCUACGAAAAGCACCACACACAGAGACAAAAGCCACAAUAGUCAAUAAAAAAUUAAACAAAACAUUAAACUAAAUGACAGAUCGCAUAAGCUAAAAUCAGGAUUACAUAAAGAUUUCAUCAAAUGGAAACGUACUUUGUAAUUUUCCAAUGCAAAUAUGCUAGGAUGACUCUUUUACUAUCCUAGGAUGAGCCGCAUCGAGAAGCUAGCAAUGAACAGCGUCGGAACAUGCCUGAAAAAUUAACGAUCCAACGAAAUAGAUAAACUAAGAAAUUAAAGAAGAUAAUCAAAUUAAAGUAUAAAAAGAGAAGAUAAACCUAUUCGAUUUUGGAGAGACUGAGUUGCAAAGUCGAGUUGAUCCAAGAAAGAAUCUCAGAUCUGCCAACAAAGUAAGCCGCAUCCAUGAUUCCAAUGUUGGUCGCCAUUUCUCUCUCAAUCGUGGCGGACAGUCGCAGACCAUCGCGGACAGUGGUGGAGAGUUAAGGCGUGAACGCGAGAGUGAGGAGAGGUAGGGUUCGCGGACAAAAGUUUCAAAUCCUUGCGCAGAGGCGGCGAUGGCGAAUAAUGAAGGGCGCGAUAGUGUGCGAGUGAGUGAAGGGAAGAGUGAGUGAAGGUGAGAUAGUUUUGUGAAGUACAAAGGGUUUCGCGAAUCACAAAGGGUUUCGCGUGGAGGAUUUCGUGAGGAGGGUGGAGGGCUUCGUGAGGAUUUCGUGUUUAACAGAGUGAAAAGAAAGAGAAAGGGAAGAGAGUUUCGGGGUUCCUAGGAGUCAAGUUUUAAAAAAUAAUUGGAAAUAAUAAAGAAGGAAAACGUGAGAUUUUUAUUUUGAAGGAUAAUUGUGGCGGUUGAAGGAUAAUUGUGGUGGUUAGUCAAAUGUCGUAUUAUACAAAAAUUUGUGAAGGUUAUUAAUAACCGUCGUAUUAAAACCGUCACUUUAUACAUGAUUUUUUGUAGUGGCACUAGAACCGAAUCAGACAACCGGUCCUCCGUUCCAACAAACGCAUCACACUUCCGGUCAACCUUAACCUCCAAUUUCACACCUCCUCCGCACAACCUAUUUUUUAAUUUGAUUAUUUAUUAAAAUAUUAUGAUACAAUGUCAAAUAAAUUGAAUCAAAUACACUAUUUUAUAAAUAUUUCACAUCAUACACAUUACACAUUACACACAUUAUACUAAAAUUUUCUAUCACAUCAUAUUUCACUCAACAUAGAAACUUCAUCUUCUUCACUCCCUACUACUUUGUUGCAUCUUCUUCUUCACCUCCUCCUCCUCCUCCUCCUCCCACCGUCACAAGCUCCUCCUCUCCACCCAUCUCAGAAUGUCGGCACACCGGGCACGUCACAUGGUUCUCCAACCAAGUGUCGAUGCAGUUCGCGUGGAAGAUGUGCCUGCAAUGGGCAGUCAUCUUCACGUCCUCUCCCUCUGCCACCCCCUCCAGGUAGAUACUGCACUCCCCAGCUGCUUCGGCCACCACGGCCACCACAAUCAGAGGUCUCGAAGCCACGAGUGCUUGCCCUUGGAUGUUGUCGGCCGUCGCGGGGUGCGUCGAGCUCCUUCGCAUGUAGAAGUAUAUAAAAGAGACGAAGAAGAAGACGAUGAUGAAGACAACAAGAAGUAUGUAAGCAAGUUUUGGACUGAAGCUACUGGACUUUCCUGCAGUUCUUGGCGGCGGCAACGGCGAGAAACCAGGGAUAGGAGGAACGGCGAAACUUCUCUACAUGGUUGUUUCUCCGGUUGCUCUGUCUCGUUGCUAUGAUUUUCCGUUGUUCAUCCAUUUUAUAGAGAAAAAAGAAUCUUGUCACACGGUUGCUCUGUAUCGUUGCUCUGUAUCAAUGGAAAUCAUGUGCAGAUCCGAACCUAAUUCUAAGAACAACUUUAAACUUGUAAUAUUGAAGAUCAAAUUGAAUUUUUGCAUGAUGUGCAAAGGUGACUAAAAAUAAUUUUAGUUUCUAAUAUUUCUCUAUAAUAUUUCUAAUAUUUCAGUAUGGUUUUCUACAUUUAUGUUUUUGCAGCAAAAUAUUUGAUGCACCACUACAUUGCGAUUACGUGCAAUUACGUGCACUCUAUUUGAUGCACCACUUCAGUCAAGGAAUAUUCAUAUUCACGUCCUCUCCCUCUGCCACCCCUCCAGACACAUAGUACACUCCCCAGCUGCUUCGGCAACCACGGCCACCACCGUCAGAGGUCUCGAAACCACGGGAUUCGACACUACUUGUCCUUGGAUGUUGUCGGCCACGGAGUUCGUCGAGGAGGAUCGCCUUCGCAUGUAGAAGUAUAUCAAACGGACCAAGAAGAAUAUGAUGAUGAAGACAACGAUAAAUAUGUAUGCAAGUGUCGGACUGAAGCUACUGGCCUUUGUUGCACCACUUCAUGGCGGCGGCGGCGAGAAACUGUUUGGGGCAUGAGGGAGAGGAGGAACGGUGAACAUUCUUCUGUGCAUGGUUUCUUUUCUUUUCUAAGAUUAAAGUUGCUCUGUUUUUCAGUAUCAUGUUCUUCCAUCUUAUAGAGAGGAAUCUUGUCACGGUUGCUCAUAAUAUUAAUAAUAUUUAAUAAUAUAAAUAAUAUUUAAUAAUAUUAAUAAGAUUUAAUAAUAUUAGUAAUAUAUAAUAAUAUUAACAAUAUAUAAUAAUAUUAACAAUAUAUAAUAAUAUUAAUAAUAUAUAAUAAUAUUAAUAAUAUAUAAUAAUAUUAAUAAAAUAUAAUAAUAUUUAAUAAUAUUAAUGAUAUUUAAUAAUAUUAAUGAUAUUUAAUAAGAUUAAUAAUAUUAAUAAUAUUAAUAAUAUUAACAAUAUUAAUAAUAGUAAUAAUAUUUAAUAAUAUUAGUAAUAUAUAAUAAUAUUAAUAAUAUAUAGUAGUAUUAAUAAUAUAUAAUAAUAUUAAUAAUAUAUAAUAAUAUUAAUAAUAUAUAAUAAUAUUAAUAAUAUAUAAUAAUAUUAAUAAUAUAUAUUAAUAUUAAUAAUAUAUAAUAAUAUUAAUAAUAUAUAAUAAUAUUAAUAAUGUAUAAUAAUAUUUAAUAAUAGUAAUAAUAUAUUAGUAAUAUUUAAUAAUAUUAAUAAUAUAUAAUAAUAUUAAUAAUAUAUACUAAUAUUAAUAAUAUAUAAUAAUAUUAAUAAUAUAUAAUAAUAUUAAUAAUAUAUAAUAAUAUUAAUAAUAUAUAAUAAUAUUAAUAAUAUAUAAUAAUAUUAAUAAUAUAUAAUAAUAUUAAUAAUAUAAUAAUAUUAAUAAUAUUUAAUAAUAUAUAAUAAUUUUUAAUAUUUUUAAUAUUAUUAAUAAUAUAUAAUAAUAUUAAUAAAAUAUAAUAAUAUUAACAAAAUAUAAUAAUAUUAAUAAAAUAUAAUAAUAUUACUAAUAUUUAAUAAUAUUAAUAAUAUUUAAUAAUAGUAAUAAUAUUUGAUGCACCACUACAUUACGAUUACGUGCAAUUACGUGCGCUUUAUUUGAUGCACCACUUCAGGCAAGGGGUUCGUCGAGCUCCUUCGCAUGUAGAAGUAUAUAAAAGAGAUGAAAAAUAAGACGAUGAUGAAGACAACGAGAAGUAUGUAGGCAAGUUUUGGACUGACUGAAGCUACUGGACUUUCCUGCAGUUCUUGGCGGCGGCGACAAGAAACCAGGGAGAGGAGGAAUGGCGAAGCUUCGCUGCAUGGUUGUUGAUUUCCAGUUGCUUUGUCGUUGCUCUGAUUUUUCGUUUGUUCAUCCAUUUUAUAGAGAAAGAGGAAUCUUGUCACACGGUUGCUCUGUAUCGUUGCUCUGUUUUUCCGUUGUUUUUCCAUCUUAUAGAGAGGAAUCUUGUCACGGUUGCUCAUAAUAUUAAUAAUAUUUAAUAAUAUUAAUGAUAUUUAAUAAUAUUAAUAAUAUUUGAUGCAUCACUACAAUGCGAUUACGUGCAAUUACGUCCGCUCCAUUUGAUGCACCACACCAGUCAUGGAAUAUUCAUCUUCACGUCCUCUCCCUCUGCCACCCCCUCCAGACAGAUAGUACACUCUCCAGCUUCAUCGACCACUAGCCCCAUGUAGAUCCCCCAACACAGUCAAGAGACUAGCAAGCACAGUAAAAGGUCUCAGAAUACCAAUACAUGACUCACCUUUGCCAUUAGAAACAGCCACCAACGCCCAACAAUCUUCUUUAUACAGAAAACUCAGCAGCAUCUCCCAAAUGGGCAUCUGUUUUCGCUGCCACUCACAACCAAACUCAGUGGCAACAAGCUCAAGAACCCUAUCAGCAAAAAAAUCAUUCAAACCCACCUUCUCUUUCUUCUUCACUCCCCUGAAAUCCUCACG